GCGGUAGUAGUAUAGUGGUUAGAGAUUUAAUAUCGACCAAUAUACGGCCUUGCCAAGGCUGUGACCGGGGUUCGAGUCCCCGCUACCGCA
This 90-nucleotide transfer RNA is filed under the name archaeon. RNAcentral describes it as "tRNA-Gly". It matches the Rfam family "tRNA". From Rfam's summary of the family: Transfer RNA (tRNA) molecules are approximately 80 nucleotides in length. Their secondary structure includes four short double-helical elements and three loops (D, anti-codon, and T loops). Further hydrogen bonds mediate the characteristic L-shaped molecular structure. tRNAs have two regions of fundamental functional importance: the anti-codon, which is responsible for specific mRNA codon recognition, and the 3' end, to which the tRNAs corresponding amino acid is attached (by aminoacyl-tRNA synthetases). tRNAs cope with the degeneracy of the genetic code in two manners: having more than one tRNA (with a specific anti-codon) for a particular amino acid; and 'wobble' base-pairing, i.e. permitting non-standard base-pairing at the 3rd anti-codon position. The record is from RNAcentral.